AUGAAGAUGAAUAAACCAUUGCUAGUGCAGACACGAAAUAGCGCACUUUUAAUACACGAAAUAGAAGACUCUGAAUGCUCUCUCGUUGUGUGAGACAUUUCCACAUAAAGUUGGUUCCCAAUUGUAUUUAUGGCAUCUAGAGCCAUUGGGAGAGUGCGAGAGUCCUACUCCUAUGGCAGCCAUUUCACUAUCUGUCAAUAACUUUUACGGUUGAACAAGGGACAUUAUCCCCUAUGGAGAGAACAAGUCGUGGCCUUGGCUGAGAGCCAAGAUCUCAUGAACCACCUCACCAAUUAUGUUCCUCCACCCCAAUAUGAGUCCUCCACCGAUUACUUAACAACAAUCAACCACAAAGAAAUCAACCCCACUUACCCGCAAUGGCGGAAUGAGGAUCGAUUGCAUUGGGGUUGGAUCAUCGGUACACUAUCUGAGGAAUCAUUCAGCUUAGUUGUAGGGCUUGAAACUUCCUACCAAGUUUGGCAUGCUCUUCAAGAUACCUAUGCUCAGGAGUCCCAAGAAAGAGAAUUUCAACUUACUCAGCAACUCACCUACAUGCGGAAGGAGGCGUCGGUUUCGCUACAUGAUCAUCUUAGAAAUUUCGAAACCGUAUGUGAUAAUCUAGCUGCAAUUGAUCACCCGGUGAGUGACAAAUUGAAGGUGUUCGCCCUUCUCAAUGGCCUCGGACCGAAGUACGAACCCUUCACCACCACCAUGCUCAAGCCGCCAAUGCCCUCUUAUGCUGAGGUUGUGCCGCUGCUACAGGGGUUUGAGACACAAACCCAACUUCAUGAGACCUACAACGCACAAAGUUACGUGUUUUAUGGUCAAAACCCAAGGAAUGGAAAUUCUAAACCGAAGUACUUCUCUAAGUUCUCUUCCCGCGGACAUGGCUUCUCCCAAGCCAAUCAUGUGUCACACCCAAAUCCCUCUACUAGUGGGACACAACACACCUCUGCCCCAAAUAAUGUACGUGACUCUUCUCUAGAAAAUACUCGCAUGGAGACUUGUCAAAUUUGCGGAAAAAAUGGGCAUAUUGCGUUAAAGUGCUGGCACCGGUUUGAUCACGCUCUUAAGCCCGAUGACAUUCCUCAAGCAUUGGCUACCAUGAAACUUGAAAAUGGCACUCAUGAUGCUGAGUGAUUGUACCACACUUGAAAAUGGGAUACUCAGGUAGCUCUGAAAUUCGAGCAUAGAAAGAGUAAAGGCAGCAACUAUGGUCCACCAUAUGAGUGGAAAGUGUACAACACUCUUGGUGGUAGUCAUGGACUGCCAAAAGUAUACUAUAAAUGGAGGCAAGGAGACUAUUAUGUUAUGGUUAUGGACAUGCUAGGUCCCAGCUUGUGGGAUGUUUGGAAUACUACAAGGCAGGCGUGAAUGUCCCAUGCUUGUAUCUUUCUUUACCUCCUAUAGUGUCAUAAUUUUUAUUGUUCUACUGUCCUGUGUUGUCUUGAAAUCUUAAACUUGAGUUUGUUAUAGAUGGCUAUUGUGGGCUUGGUUGGAGGAAAAGCUCAAUUAAGUUAUUUAAAGGAAAGACUUUUAAACUUUAGUAGACUAAGUAUCAUGCCUUCAAAGUCCCAGGUUUAUAAUAUUUGAAAGUACACGUAGCUUUGGGUCUGACUUCAAAAGAAAAUAAGGGGAAAAAAGGAUGUAAUUAUGCAGAAAAAAGAGUCUUUAAAAGUAGGAAUCGUUGGUAUCCACAACUCUGAUCUACCAAAACUCCUGAUUUUAUACCUUAAAACAAUUAAAGAACAUCUGUCAAAUUAGCACGAUUCAAAUUAUACUGCAAAAACCCGUGAUUUAAAUUCCACUGCUUAUAUGCUCUAUUGGCGAAGAAUGCUGCAGCCAGCCACAAGGUGUUUCACGAAAAUAUAUGACUUUGAACUUUUUUGAUUAGUAAACAAAGAGUUUUAUUGAUGAUAUAGGUAGACACAGCCCUAGUACACAAGACGUAUACAAGAGUGGCAACCAAGCAUAUGAGUGUCCGGCCAGUGAUACAACUAGGAACUAAAGAUCACCACGACCUUUAUAGGCUAACACUAUAAUGAAGUAGCAAAGAGCGAUUUGUACUCUUCUUUUAACUGUAUUUUCUUCCUGGUUUCUGAAAAAAACAAAAAUGUGGUUAAUAGUGGUGAUAUUUUCAGUUUAAGAUUAUAGUUUGGAGCUUGUACAGGCUUGUUGUUAGGACCCUGUAGUAAAUGACCGUUGUAAAUGCUACUGUGAAUUGGAAUGAUGCUGUUGUGACAAUGGAAUGUAAACAGGAAGUGAAAUGGAUUACAAAUGAAUGUUGUAUGAAGAAGGAAUGGGAAUGCACGGGAAGUGUUUGAUAGAAAGCUCAAAAGAGCCACUGAUUCAGAGCUACGGGUUCUUCGAGGGACCCAACCUCCAUUACAGAAAAGAUCAAUAACCAAAUAUUCCAAAAUGAAUCUCCCUCCCCACAGUCCCUUCUCAUAUGCUCAUGCAGAAUAACAAACCAUACAAAUAAAAGGCUGACACGUAUACGUAUAGUAACUAACUAUUACAAGGAGACAAAAUACAAUAAUAAGCUAAAAUUCUCUCAUGAUGCCAAACGAUGCGUAUAGCACCGAUUAUUGAAGCUGUGUGUUUAAUCUCAUUUCUCCAAAUGGUGCGCUGCAUCAGGUUCCUAACACUUGUUUUAUGGAUUCUCUUUGAAAAUCAAGAAAUCUUGUAUUCAGGUGGUUGUCAUCUUAAAUAAUCGUUGCCAGACAAUCAAUAUAAAAAUGUCCUAUGCCAUUUUGGUUAUAAAAUAUUUAGCAUCCUACUUUUGUUGAUGUAAUCCUUUUUGAGAAGUAAUAUAAAUUUGAUAAAAAAAUGCAAAAGACUCAAUCCAAGUACACAGACGUAAACAAGAAAGACACUUGUCUAGCUAGUUGAUCUUCAACUGUUAAUCUUGAACUGUUAUAAAAUUGCAAUUUUUUUCUAUAUAUCUUGAAAAAGUGAAAUGAUGAUCCACCAUUCAUUCCUGCCUACACCCACCCAUAUAAAAAGGAGGGGUGGGGGUGAUGGAAAUCUUGUCCACGCUUUUUUAGGGUGCACCUGUGAUAGGCAAAGAUCUCAACAUAUUUUAGCUUGUACAAAUGAAGAUAAUUUGGUCAAUUCGUUUUGGGGAAUAUUUUAUGUUUGGUUUUUCACCUUAUUUACAUUUUUCCUUAUUUUUUUUCUUUGUAAUUUGUGUUUGUGGGCUAAGACUCGUGUACUGAAUGAUGAUAAUUUUCUGAUUUGUAUUAGCCUUCUUUUUUCUGCUUUCUAGAGUGUAAUAGGUAUUUCCUUUGUAUACGUCCUGUGUACUUGAGCUUUGCCUAUUCUUGGUAAUAAAAUUUCUUAUUAAUUAUAUAAAAAAAAAUACAUUUGUUUGUGUUCACCUACACACUUGAGCUUGUGUUUUCUGGGUGUCUUAUUUUAGUUUCUUUUGUUUUUCUGGCCACAAUUACUAGAGUAAGCUACUUCAAUUUUGAUUGUUGUUAAAUGCAUCUCUUGAACAUGAAUUUUGUUUAGAGUGUAAUAUUGUUUUUCUUUAUUUUAGAAGUAUAUGUUAUUGGUCUAACAAUGUUUCUUCUUCCUCUCUUCAUUCCUUGUCUGCCAAAAUGUAUGCCUUGUUUCUAAAUCUUUCACACAAUGAUAUAUACACACUGGAUGUCCUCAGAAAUGGUUGCUUGUAUAGCAGUUGAGUCCUUAUCAAUUCAAGAGAAGAUGCAUGCAAGAGGUUAUGUCCAUGGUGAUGUCCUCAGAAAUGGUUGCUUGUAUAGCAGUUGAGUCCUUAUCAAUUCUAGAGAAGAUGCAUGCAAGAGGGUAUGCGAUUGUAGUAGUUUUUCUCGACUUUGUAAGGUUUGGUGGCCGCUUUUGUAUUUUAAAAAAAAAUUAUGUUGGCAAUGUUGCAUCAAAUAGCUUUGUUUGAUGGUCAUUUUAUUGUGAAAUAUUGAAUCUCCAUAAUUAGUAAUCAUGUAUCUGUUUGAUACUAGUUAUGCCCAUGGUGAUGUCAAGCCCGAGAACUUUUUACAUGAGUCUUGGGCAGCCAUCUUCACCACAAGAGAAGAAUUUGUUUCUUGUUGACCUUGGUUUAGGCGAGUAAAUUUCAUGUAAUUAUUACACACUCAAAUUAACUUAUUCUACAUAUUUUAUUACGUUGUUAUUAUCAAUUCGUGAUUGCAGUAGCAAAGUGGAGAGAUAGCUCUAAUUGACAACAUGUUGAAUAUGAUCAAUGUCCUGAUAUGUUUAGAGGAACCGUUCGAUAUGCUAGUGUUCACGCUCACCUGGGAAGAACUGCUAGUAGAAGAGAUGAUCUUGAGUUUCUUGCAUAUACGCUCAUCUUUCUCCAUCGAGGCAGGAUGCCUUGGCAAGGCUCUCAGGGGUGGCUUGAGAACAAACACACUGAGAUAUUGUGGAAAGCAAUGGAGAAGUUUUGAGGAUACCCAAUGCAACAUCGAAGACCUCCGGGCUGUUCUUUUUAUCAAUCUACUAUUUGAUGGCAGCCAAACUUUGUCUCUCUAGCUUUACUCUCUAUGUUCUUCUCUCUCUAUCUCACUAGGUGUAUUUUUUGGAUAACUUCAUGUACUUCAAUUAUGCCGUCCGCUCUUUUCUUGGUCAUUAAUGAAAUAAUCUUACAAAAAAUAGUAUUAGUGUGGUUGAAAAAAGGACUUAAGUCUAACAAUUACAAUA
Molecule: long non-coding RNA, 4674 nt
Organism: Carya illinoinensis
Lineage: Eukaryota; Viridiplantae; Streptophyta; Magnoliopsida; Fagales; Juglandaceae
Exons: 7
Source: RefSeq, a predicted model, not a curated record